AAUAGAUACCCGGGUAGUCCACGCCGUAAACGAUGUCGACUUGGAGGUUGUGCCCUUGAGGCGUGGCUUCCGGAGCUAACGCGUUAAGUCGACCGCCUGGGGAGUACGGCCGCAAGGUUAAAACUCAAAUGAAUUGACGGGGGCCCGCACAAGCGGUGGAGCAUGUGGUUUAAUUCGAUGCAACGCGAAGAACCUUACCUACUCUUGACAUCCAGAGAACUUAGCAGAGAUGCUUUGGUGCCUUCGGGAACUCUGAGACAGGUGCUGCAUGGCUGUCGUCAGCUCGUGUUGUGAAAUGUUGGGUUAAGUCCCGCAACGAGCGCAACCCUUAUCCUUUGUUGCCAGCGGUUAGGCCGGGAACUCAAAGGAGACUGCCAGUGAUAAACUGGAGGAAGGUGGGGAUGACGUCAAGUCAUCAUGGCCCUUACGAGUAGGGCUACACACGUGCUACAAUGGCAUAUACAAAGAGAAAGCGGACCUCGCGAGAGCAAGCGGACCUCAUAAAGUAUGUCGUAGUCCGGA
RNAcentral lists this ribosomal RNA (522 nucleotides) under uncultured bacterium. RNAcentral's name for it is "bacterial SSU rRNA". It matches the Rfam family "Bacterial small subunit ribosomal RNA", at positions 777 to 1297 of the family's 1533-position model. The record is from RNAcentral.